Molecule: long non-coding RNA, 1143 nt
Organism: Nomascus leucogenys (northern white-cheeked gibbon)
Lineage: Eukaryota; Metazoa; Chordata; Mammalia; Primates; Hylobatidae
Source: RefSeq, a predicted model, not a curated record
UCAAAGUCCAGCAGGAAAUCCUGCCCUCUGGGUUGCACUUCCUGGUUGAGCCUCCGACGUCUCAAGCAGCAUUGUUUUAAUGCUUUGAUGAAGCUCAGCACGCUGCCGAAAUCUCCGUGUAUUUUUUUCUUUUCUUUUUUUUUGCAUAUGAGAGAAGGGACAACAAAUUGCAGUUUUAUCCAUUUGUAUUAUUUCUUUAGAAAACUCAACACUCUUUUUGUUGGAGGUGGGGAAAUGAGAAGGUGAUGUUUUGUUUUGCUUUUUUUCCUUUUUUUUUUUUUAAAGGAGGAGUAGAUGAGUGUGCUCCUUAAGGAGGAAGUUUGUCUUUUGAAACAUACCACAUGCUUGAAGCACAUUUGAGCUCCUGCAUGAACAACAGUAAGGUAGCAGAUGGUAGAAAUAUUCGUUAUUAAUUCAAAAAAUACUGCGGACCUACAAUGCGCCAAGCAUGUCUCCUGACACUGGGGAUAAGCAGGGAGCAACAACAAAAAGACAAAGUUCUUCCACCCUGAGGCUUAUGUUCUAGGUCUCUGUGGAAAGAAACAGAAAUCACAAAAGCAAUUAAGAGAGCUCAGAUAAUGGACAGCAAGACCCCCCACAGACAGCAAGACCCAUCUCUCUGCUUUCUCUUCCUCCUCAGCCUACUCAACAUGAAGAUGACAAGGAUGAAGACCUUCCCGAUGGUCCACUUCGCUUAAUGAACAGUAAAUAGUAAAUUUUCUCUUCCUCAUGAUGUUUGAAAUAAUAUUUUCUUUUCUCUAGCUUAUUUUAUUGUAACAAUACAGUAUACAAUACACACACAAAAUAUGUGUUAAUCAACUGUUUAUGUUAUUGCUAAGGCUUAUGGUUAACAGUGGGCUCUUAAUAGCUACAUUGUGGUGGAGUCAGAAGUUAUAUACAGAGUCUCGACUGUUUGGGGGUUUGGUGCCCCUAAUCUUUGCAUUGUUCAAGGGACAACCACAGUAUUAUUUCUGUUAGACAUGUGUCAGCACUCUACGCUGUUACUGUGACUUGCAAUUUUUUAAAUAUCCCUUAUAACUGUAGGAUAACUCUCUGUAUAACUCUAGUGAAUCCCCAGUAAGUGCAGAUUAAAAUGGUGACCUGUAUCUUUAAAGAAAAUUAAAUCUUUAUACAUGCUCAUGA